RNAcentral lists this transfer RNA (69 nucleotides) under human oral metagenome. It matches the Rfam family "tRNA". Rfam says of the family: Transfer RNA (tRNA) molecules are approximately 80 nucleotides in length. Their secondary structure includes four short double-helical elements and three loops (D, anti-codon, and T loops). The record is from RNAcentral.
GCGUGUAGCUUAGUUGGUAGAGCAGAUCCCUCUUAAGGAUAAGGUCGUGGGUUCGAAUCCCACCCCGCC